GGCUGGGCUGGGGGGAGAAAGUGCCGCCCCCUGCUCCUUCCCACUCUCUGGGGCCAAGACGGUGUGGGACGUCCCAGAGGCGGCCAAAGAGCAAGCAACGAUGGCAGGAAGAGGUAGAGGAGAAGGACCUAGGGAGAAGACGUCAUGCUUUCCCCCAAACUCACUCACGUUCCCUCCCUCAAGUGCAAGCUUCACGUUUGUAGCUACACUGCUGGAUGAUGGAGCAGACAAAAUGCACAGAAAUAAGCUCCCAAGAGCCUUAACAACAGAGGAUGAGGAGGGCAGAAUUUCAGAUUCAGAAUGUGAAUUAACAUUUUGAAUGUCAGAUGGGUGCCCUGAGCACUCAGAUUUAUGGGACCAAUGGCCACGAGGGCUGAAAGGCGUUGGACUAGGAAUCCCACAGAGGAACUUCUCUGAACUUUACUCAUAUUGCUGGAAUGUUUUCUGCAGCCAUCAAACAACGUCUGUGGUCAACUAAGAAAUCCCAAGUACCAGUGCAGGAUGUUAUUCAAGUGAUGUGAGAAACAAAACACAGUUACCCAUCAGCUAUCUAUCAAAAAUAUUGGCUAACGGUAGGAAAAAAGGACUGGGGCUCUUGUGCCUUUGAUGACCCUGUGAAAAAGGGAAUUUCAGAGGCAUAAGUGCUCCAGCAGGCUAACACCUAUGGGUAUUUCCUCUUCUGUACACCUAUUAAAGGUUGGGGAGGCUUUAACAAGGCUACAAUCAGUGCCCCCUGUUCUCUCUCGCACCCACCAAUCGGCAAUUUCUUCAGCUGUUUGGAAAUCGUGAACAAAUGGUGACAAAAUGUCCAGGGAGACAGAGAGCCAAAGAAACGUCUCUGUUAGGAAGGCUCCCAAGUUUUGCUCUGUCCUGAGACUGCAAAGGAUGUUGGAAGUAGAGCGCCGGGUCAUUAGCAUGACAAUCCUUGCAGAUCCGGCUUCCUUCUGAGCCCAGGACUUGCUCAAUCCAAUUUCCAGACUUUGGUCUUUCUAUAGAAAGUUAAUUCCUGCCACAGGGACAGUGAAAAUGACCUUCUUAAAGGGACAGACAUGGCACCCUCUCUUUCCAACAGCUGCCUCUUUUAAUUAAGGAGACAAUGGAAGAUGCGCUAAUUAAUCAGAAUUUUUUAUUGGAAACCUUGCCACAAAGGUUUGUGGCUUUAAAAAAAAAAACAAAAAACCCACAAAGACAAAAUAAAGCUAUCCAUAACAACA
RNAcentral lists this long non-coding RNA (1214 nucleotides) under Salvator merianae (Argentine black and white tegu). Its description in RNAcentral is "lncRNA (ENSSMRG00000005617.1)". The record is from RNAcentral. Lineage: Eukaryota; Metazoa; Chordata; Lepidosauria; Squamata; Teiidae.